This 189-nucleotide ribosomal RNA is filed under the name uncultured Bacillus sp. RNAcentral's name for it is "partial 16S ribosomal RNA". It matches the Rfam family "Bacterial small subunit ribosomal RNA", at positions 152 to 334 of the family's 1533-position model. The record is from RNAcentral. Lineage: Bacteria; Bacillati; Bacillota; Bacilli; Caryophanales; Bacillaceae.
GGAAACCGGGGCUAAUACCGGAUAAUAUUUUGAACUGCAUGGUUCGAAAUUGAAAGGCGGCUUCGGCUGUCACUUAUGGAUGGACCCGCGUCGCAUUAGCUAGUUGGUGAGGUAACGGCUCACCAAGGCAACGAUGCGUAGCCGACCUGAGAGGGUGAUCGGCCACACUGGGACUGAGACACGGCCCAG